RNAcentral lists this long non-coding RNA (1989 nucleotides) under Paramuricea clavata. The record is from RNAcentral. Lineage: Eukaryota; Metazoa; Cnidaria; Anthozoa; Malacalcyonacea; Plexauridae.
GGCUAUUUCAGGUUUUUGUGAAAUAGUAGGAUUAUCUACAAAUUAACUUGGACUGUAGAAUAAUCCCAAUUUUUAUUUUGUAGCCAAUUACUCACCACAGAAAAUUACAAAUUGGCACAGCAAGGCAUGUUCAAGGGAAAACCUGGCAUUGUGUACACAGACCCUGAGAGAUAUCGUACAGCAAGAACUGGUUUAAUUUAUGGGCUUCAGUUACAUACUUCCCAUUGUAAGUCAUUGUGCACAACUUUAUAAUUGUGUGUGUGUUAAUAUUUAUCUGCCAUUACAAUAUAGUGAUGUGACUGUGUUCUUAUUCGACUGUGUUAACCCAUUGAGUUACAUUGUGCCCUACUUUAUUAUUUUACUCUGUCUAACACCAGACUAUUUUACUCGUCAAUGGAAGAGCACUGGCGCUUAAUGGGUAUAACUGUUCUAUCCGCCACAUGUGUCUAGUUAACCCAUCAAGUCGCAUUGUGCCCUGAUGCACCCUAUUUUAAUGAUUAUGCUACUCUGUCUAACGCAAGAUUAUUUCACUAUGUCUAAUAGACUAAUACCAGAUUGAUUACAGUGAUUACAGUUUUUGAAGAAAGAAUUGUUUAGUAUCCGUACAUGGAUUAAACCAUUAACCUAUAUUAAGAUACUUAAUCUAUAUAAAACCUUAACCUAUAUGUGUAUUAUAGAAUUAGAACUUAACCAUAUAUGUGUAUUUUAAUCUGUAUAGAAAUUUAUUCUAUGUUUGAUCUUUUUGUAGAGUUACAAAACCGUUGUAUCAUGGCAGCUUUGACAUAUGUCCUUGAGGAGAAGGAGCAUACCUCAGGAGAACAUUCCUUUAAUUAAAGUUGUUCUUGUAAGUGAAUUUUGUAUAUUUUAUAACAUCUAGAUAGAAUGUUUGUGAUGUUACUCUGAGUGUGAAUCCACUCCGGGCAAGCUGAAAAGUUAGCUUGGCCACGGUGGGAAUUGAACCUGCGAUUUUUGGGAUACUAGUCCAAUGCUCUGCCAAAUAAGCUACAUGGUCAAGUCGGUUCGAGUUGAUGAUAUUUCGGAACUGAGUCUAGUUCCUUCUAUAUCAGUGUAUUCUAUAUGAUUAUUUUUUAUGUGUGUUGGUGUUAUGUACUUGAUGUUAUGUACUCAUGUGAUGUACUCAGUAUGACAAAAAACAAUCGGACAUAUAGAAUACACUGAUAUAGAAGGAACUAGACUCAGUUCCGAAAUAUCGUCAACUCGAACCGACUUGGCACAUAGCUCAGUUGGCAAAGCAUUGGACUAGUAUCCCAAAGGUUUUGGGUGUGGAUUCACACUCAGAGUAACAUCACAAACAUCAUAUUCAGUGAGUACAUAAUGCCAACACACACAAAAAAUAAUCUAGAUAGAAAUUAUGAAGUGAUGUAUAUUUUUGUAGUGUAACUACAGGAGAAGAAGUACAAUAUUUAGACAUAAGUGUAAGUUGUGCAUGAAAUGCUUAUUUCACUCAGUUAUAUAUAUAUAUUUCCUUGUUGCAGGAUGAUUCUGAAAUUGCUCCCAAAAUAUCAGGAUGCUCAACCCCUCGUCUAUUGGCCACUGGACCUCUGGAAGAGAUAAGUUCGAUUUCAUUGAUUGCAGAGGGAAUGGUUGUAAAAAAUUCAGAUACGAUCCGUGCAAUAUUACCAACGCAGUGGCACGUUUGCUUGCAGGGUACUAUGUUUUAACAUGCAGUACCCAAAAGGGGCCAACAGGUCAUAGUAAGAACAUUUACAUGUUUUAGUAAUUUAGAACAUGUUCUUUUGGCCAAUAAUUGCCAUACCGGUACUUUACCAAUUGACGUGGAGAACUUCCUAAGCUAAAGGAUUUUAUGAAUGUUCACAUUAAAUGGAACAAUUUAUGCUAAUGAAAUUAUGAUAAUAUUGUAUCACUAAUUUAAUGCAUGUAUUGUACAUGCAGGAUAUAUUGUCCCGAGGAGAGUUAUGACCCUCACAAUCAUGGGCUAUUCCUGUGAAUGUUUCUAUAUAGUAUAAC